RNAcentral lists this ribosomal RNA (492 nucleotides) under uncultured bacterium. RNAcentral describes it as "partial 16S ribosomal RNA". It matches the Rfam family "Bacterial small subunit ribosomal RNA", at positions 29 to 507 of the family's 1533-position model. The record is from RNAcentral.
AGUGAACGCUGGCGGUAGGCCUAACACAUGCAAGUCGAACGGCAGCACAGUAAGAGCUUGCUCUUACGGGUGGCGAGUGGCGGACGUGUGAGGAAUACAUCGGAAUCUACUUUUUCGUGGGGGAUAACGUAGGGAAACUUACGCUAAUACCGCAUACGACCUACGGGUGAAAGCAGGGGAUCUUCGGACCUUGCGCGAUUGAAUGAGCCGAUGUCGGAUUAGCUAGUUGGCGGGGUAAAGGCCCACCAAGGCGACGAUCCGUAGCUGGUCUGAGAGGAUGAUCAGCCACACGGGAACUGAGACACGGUCCAGACUCCUACGGGAGGCAGCAGUGGGGAAUAUUGGACAAUGGGCGCAAGCCUGAUCCAGCCAUACCGCGUGGGUGAAGAAGGCCUUCGGGUUGUAAAGCCCUUUUGUUGGGAAAGAAAAGCAGCAGGUUAAUACCCCGCUGUUCUGACGGUACCCAAAGAAUAAGCACCGGCUAACUUCGUG